UACGGGGGGAGCAAGCGUUGUUCGGAUUUACUGGGCGUAAAGGGCGCGUAGGCGGUCGUGACAAGUCACUUGUGAAAUCUCCGGGCUUAACUCGGAACGGUCAAGUGAUACUGUCGGACUAGAGUACAGAAGGGGCAACUGGAAUUCUCGGUGUAGCGGUGAAAUGCGUAGAUAUCGAGAGGAACACCUGCGGCGAAGGCGGGUUGCUGGGCUGAUGACUGACGCUGAGGCGCGAAAGCCAGGGGAGCGAACGGGGAUUAGAACCGUACGU
Molecule: ribosomal RNA, 271 nt
Filed under: uncultured bacterium
Lineage: Bacteria
Description: partial 16S ribosomal RNA
Rfam family: Bacterial small subunit ribosomal RNA
Source: RNAcentral